Molecule: ribosomal RNA, 1356 nt
Filed under: uncultured bacterium
Lineage: Bacteria
Description: bacterial SSU rRNA
Rfam family: Bacterial small subunit ribosomal RNA
Source: RNAcentral
GGAUGAACGCUAGCGGCAGGCUUAACACAUGCAAGUCGAGGGGCAACACGGGUAGCAAUACCUGGUGGCGACCGGCGCAAGGGUGCGUAACGCGUGAGCAACAUGCCCUAUACAGGGGGAUAAUCCAGGGAAACUUGGUCUAAUAUCCCAUAGUAUUUAGAGGUGGCAUCACCACUAAAUUAAAGCUUCGGUGGUAUAGGAUUGGCUCGCGUGACAUUAGCUGGAUGGUGGGGUAACGGCUCACCAUGGCGAUGAUGUCUAGGGGUUCUGAGAGGAAGACCCCCCACACUGGGACUGAGACACGGCCCAGACUCCUACGGGAGGCAGCAGUGAGGAAUAUUGGACAAUGGAUGGAAAUCUGAUCCAGCCAUGCCGCGUGCAGGAAGACGGCCCUAUGAGUUGUAAACUGCUUUUAUAUGGGAGCAAUAAGGUUUACGCGUAGACCGAUGAGAGUACCAUAUGAAUAAGCAUCGGCUAACUCCGUGCCAGCAGCCGCGGUAAUACGGAGGAUGCGAGCGUUAUCCGGAUUUAUUGGGUUUAAAGGGUGCGUAGGCGGNNUUGUAAGUCAGCGGUGAAAUUUUGCAGCUUAACUGUAACAGUGCCGUUUGAUACUGCGGGGCUAGGAUUUUGGUUGCUGUGGGUGGAAUGUGUGGUGUAGCGGUGAAAUGCUUAGAUAUCACACAGAAUAUCGAUUGCGAAGGCAGCUCACAAAGCCAAGAUUGACGCUGAGGCACGAAAGUGUGGGGAUCAAACAGGAUUAGAUACCCUGGUAGUCCACACUGUAAACGAUGAUAACUCGCUGCCGGCGAUACACAGUCGGUAGCCAAGCGAAAGCGAUAAGUUAUCCACCUGGGGAGUACGACCGCAAGGUUGAAACUCAAAGGAAUUGACGGGGGCCCGCACAAGCGGAGGAACAUGUGGUUUAAUUCGAUGAUACGCGAGGAACCUUACCCGGGCUCGAACGGUGCAUGAAUAUAAAAGAGAUUUUAUAGUCCUUCGGGACAUGUAUCGAGGUGCUGCAUGGUUGUCGUCAGCUCGUGCCGUGAGGUGUAGGCUUAAGUGCCAUAACGAGCGCAACCCUUGUCGUUAGUUGCCAUCAGGUAAUGCUGGGAACUCUAGCGAGACUGCCACCGUAAGGUGUGAGGAGGGGGGGAUGACGUCAAAUCAGCACGGCCCUUAUGUCCGGGGCGACACACGUGUUACAAUGGGGGGUACAGAGGGCAGCCAUCCGGUGACGGAGCGCUAAUCUCCAAAACCCUUCUCAGUUCGGAUUGGAGUCUGCAACCCGACUCCAUGAAGUUGGAUUCGCUAGUAAUCGCGCAUCAGCCAUGGCGCGGUGAAUACGUUCCCGGGCCU